Small RNA from Flavobacterium sp. KMS, 80 nucleotides. NCBI's taxonomy places the organism in Bacteria, Pseudomonadati, Bacteroidota, Flavobacteriia, Flavobacteriales, Flavobacteriaceae. The record is from Rfam.
GCCCUUGUAUUAUGUGUGCGGUAUCGGAAACGACCGUAAACGCUGUCGUAGGCGUUAGAAACACUAAAAUGCAAGGGUUU